CUACGAGCGGCUGCAGUGGGGAAUAUUGCACAAUGGGCGCAAGCCUGAUGCAGCCAUGCCGCGUGUGUGAAGAAGGCCUUCGGGUUGUAAAGCACUUUCAGUCGUGAGGAAGGUGGUAGUGUUAAUAGCACUAUCAUUUGACGUUAGCGACAGAAGAAGCACCGGCUAACUCCGUGCCAGCAGCCGCGGUAAUACGGAUGGUGCGAGCGUUAAUCGGAAUUACUGGGCGUAAAGCGCAUGCAGGUGGUUUGUUAAGUCAGAUGUGAAAGCCCGGGGCUCAACCUCGGAAUAGCAUUUGAAACUGGCAGACUAGAGUACUGUAGAGGGGGGUAGAAUUUCAGGUGUAGCGGUGAAAUGCGUAGAGAUCUGAAGGAAUACCGGUGGCGAAGGCGGCCCCCUGGACAGAUACUGACACUCAGAUGCGAAAGCGUGGGGAGCAAACAGGAUUAGAUACCCGAGUAGUC
RNAcentral lists this ribosomal RNA (464 nucleotides) under uncultured bacterium. RNAcentral describes it as "partial 16S ribosomal RNA". It matches the Rfam family "Bacterial small subunit ribosomal RNA", at positions 339 to 795 of the family's 1533-position model. The record is from RNAcentral.